AACGAACGCUGGCGGCAGGCUUAACACAUGCAAGUCGAGCGCUGUAGCAAUACAGAGCGGCGCACGGGUGAGUAACACGUGGGAACAUGCCUUUCGGUUCGGAAUAACUCAGGGAAACUUGUGCUAAUACCGGAUACGCCCUUACGGGAAGAUUUAUUGCCGAAGAGUGGCCCGCGUUGGAUUAGCUAGUUGGUAAGGUAAAGGCUUACCAAGGCGACGAUCUGUAGCCGGCCNGAGAGGGCGGUCGGCCACACUGACACUGACAUACGGGUCAGACUCCUACGGGAGGCAGCAGUCGGGAAUUUUGGGCAAUGGGCGAAAGCCUGACCCAGCAACGCCGCGUGAAGGAUGAAAUCCCUCGGGAUGUAAACUUCGCAAGAAUAGGAAGAAUAAGGAGGGGUUAAU
This 405-nucleotide ribosomal RNA is filed under the name uncultured bacterium. RNAcentral's name for it is "bacterial SSU rRNA". It matches the Rfam family "Bacterial small subunit ribosomal RNA", at positions 29 to 464 of the family's 1533-position model. The record is from RNAcentral.